AACACCAGCAGGAGGAGGAGAUAAAAAACCUGGGUGAAGUCCUUGAGGACAUGGUCAGAGAGGAAGGACUGGAGGAGUGACCGAGUGCAGGAGAGGGAUGAUGGCUGAUGAGGGCACAGGAAGGAGUUGAUGUGUGUGUACAUAUUUGUUUCUAAAUGUACAAACACACACACAGAGAGCUUUUCUCUGCUCUGGCAGAAUGAGGGAGGGAGACAAAGCUAUGGGAGAAUGAUCUGUGAUGAAUAAAACAGAAUCC
This is a long non-coding RNA of Chanos chanos (milkfish), 256 nucleotides long. RefSeq lists it as uncharacterized. NCBI's taxonomy places the organism in Eukaryota, Metazoa, Chordata, Actinopteri, Gonorynchiformes, Chanidae. The record is from RefSeq and is a predicted model, not a curated record. The transcript is spliced from 3 exons.